AUCUAUGGCCAUACUACCCUGAACUCACCUGAUCUCAUCUGAUCUCGGAAGCUAAGCAGGGCCGGGCCUGGUUAGUACUUGGAUGGGAGAGGCUCGAGGGUACAAAACUGUAAGAGUUU
This 119-nucleotide ribosomal RNA is filed under the name Chinchilla lanigera (long-tailed chinchilla). Lineage: Eukaryota; Metazoa; Chordata; Mammalia; Rodentia; Chinchillidae. The record is from RNAcentral.